GGGUUGUGAGGUUAAGCGACUAAGCGUACACGGUGGAUGCCCUGGCAGUCAGAGGCGAUGAAGGACGUGCUAAUCUGCGAUAAGCGUCGGUAAGGUGAUAUGAACCGUUAUAACCGGCGAUUUCCGAAUGGGGAAACCCAGUGUGAUUCGUCACACUAUCAUUAACUGAAUCCAUAGGUUAAUGAGGCGAACCGGGGGAACUGAAACAUCUAAGUACCCCGAGGAAAAGAAAUCAACCGAGAUUCCCCCAGUAGCGGCGAGCGAACGGGGAGCAGCCCAGAGCCUGAAUCAGUGUGUGUGUUAGUGGAAGCGUCUGGAAAGGCGCGCGAUACAGGGUGACAGCCCCGUACACAAAAAUGCACAUACUGUGAGCUCGAUGAGUAGGGCGGGACACGUGGUAUCCUGUCUGAAUAUGGGGGGACCAUCCUCCAAGGCUAAAUACUCCUGACUGACCGAUAGUGAACCAGUACCGUGAGGGAAAGGCGAAAAGAACCCCGGCGAGGGGAGUGAAAAAGAACCUGAAACCGUGUACGUACAAGCAGUGGGAGCACGCUUAGGCGUGUGACUGCGUACCUUUUGUAUAAUGGGUCAGCGACUUAUAUUCUGUAGCAAGGUUAACCGAAUAGGGGAGCCGAAGGGAAACCGAGUCUUAACUGGGCGUUAAGUUGCAGGGUAUAGACCCGAAACCCGGUGAUCUAGCCAUGGGCAGGUUGAAGGUUGGGUAACACUAACUGGAGGACCGAACCGACUAAUGUUGAAAAAUUAGCGGAUGACUUGUGGCUGGGGGUGAAAGGCCAAUCAAACCGGGAGAUAGCUGGUUCUCCCCGAAAGCUAUUUAGGUAGCGCCUCGUGAAUUCAUCUCCGGGGGUAGAGCACUGUUUCGGCAAGGGGGUCAUCCCGACUUACCAACCCGAUGCAAACUGCGAAUACCGGAGAAUGUUAUCACGGGAGACACACGGCGGGUGCUAACGUCCGUCGUGAAGAGGGAAACAACCCAGACCGCCAGCUAAGGUCCCAAAGUCAUGGUUAAGUGGGAAACGAUGUGGGAAGGCCCAGACAGCCAGGAUGUUGGCUUAGAAGCAGCCAUCAUUUAAAGAAAGCGUAAUAGCUCACUGGUCGAGUCGGCCUGCGCGGAAGAUGUAACGGGGCUAAACCAUGCACCGAAGCUGCGGCAGCGACGCUUAUGCGUUGUUGGGUAGGGGAGCGUUCUGUAAGCCUGCGAAGGUGUGCUGUGAGGCAUGCUGGAGGUAUCAGAAGUGCGAAUGCUGACAUAAGUAACGAUAAAGCGGGUGAAAAGCCCGCUCGCCGGAAGACCAAGGGUUCCUGUCCAACGUUAAUCGGGGCAGGGUGAGUCGACCCCUAAGGCGAGGCCGAAAGGCGUAGUCGAUGGGAAACAGGUUAAUAUUCCUGUACUUGGUGUUACUGCGAAGGGGGGACGGAGAAGGCUAUGUUGGCCGGGCGACGGUUGUCCCGGUUUAAGCGUGUAGGCUGGUUUUCCAGGCAAAUCCGGAAAAUCAAGGCUGAGGCGUGAUGACGAGGCACUACGGUGCUGAAGCAACAAAUGCCCUGCUUCCAGGAAAAGCCUCUAAGCAUCAGGUAACAUCAAAUCGUACCCCAAACCGACACAGGUGGUCAGGUAGAGAAUACCAAGGCGCUUGAGAGAACUCGGGUGAAGGAACUAGGCAAAAUGGUGCCGUAACUUCGGGAGAAGGCACGCUGAUAUGUAGGUGAAGUCCCUCGCGGAUGGAGCUGAAAUCAGUCGAAGAUACCAGCUGGCUGCAACUGUUUAUUAAAAACACAGCACUGUGCAAACACGAAAGUGGACGUAUACGGUGUGACGCCUGCCCGGUGCCGGAAGGUUAAUUGAUGGGGUUAGCGCAAGCGAAGCUCUUGAUCGAAGCCCCGGUAAACGGCGGCCGUAACUAUAACGGUCCUAAGGUAGCGAAAUUCCUUGUCGGGUAAGUUCCGACCUGCACGAAUGGCGUAAUGAUGGCCAGGCUGUCUCCACCCGAGACUCAGUGAAAUUGAACUCGCUGUGAAGAUGCAGUGUACCCGCGGCAAGACGGAAAGACCCCGUGAACCUUUACUAUAGCUUGACACUGAACAUUGAGCCUUGAUGUGUAGGAUAGGUGGGAGGCUUUGAAGUGUGGACGCCAGUCUGCAUGGAGCCGACCUUGAAAUACCACCCUUUAAUGUUUGAUGUUCUAACGUUGACCCGUAAUCCGGGUUGCGGACAGUGUCUGGUGGGUAGUUUGACUGGGGCGGUCUCCUCCUAAAGAGUAACGGAGGAGCACGAAGGUUGGCUAAUCCUGGUCGGACAUCAGGAGGUUAGUGCAAUGGCAUAAGCCAGCUUGACUGCGAGCGUGACGGCGCGAGCAGGUGCGAAAGCAGGUCAUAGUGAUCCGGUGGUUCUGAAUGGAAGGGCCAUCGCUCAACGGAUAAAAGGUACUCCGGGGAUAACAGGCUGAUACCGCCCAAGAGUUCAUAUCGACGGCGGUGUUUGGCACCUCGAUGUCGGCUCAUCACAUCCUGGGGCUGAAGUAGGUCCCAAGGGUAUGGCUGUUCGCCAUUUAAAGUGGUACGCGAGCUGGGUUUAGAACGUCGUGAGACAGUUCGGUCCCUAUCUGCCGUGGGCGCUGGAGAAUUGAGGGGGGCUGCUCCUAGUACGAGAGGACCGGAGUGGACGCAUCACUGGUGUUCGGGUUGUCAUGCCAAUGGCACUGCCCGGUAGCUAAAUGCGGAAGAGAUAAGUGCUGAAAGCAUCUAAGCACGAAACUUGCCCCGAGAUGAGUUCUCCCUGACUCCUUGAGAGUCCUGAAGGAACGUUGAAGACGACGACGUUGAUAGGCCGGGUGUGUAAGCGCAGCGAUGCGUUGAGCUAACCGGUACUAAUGAACCGUGAGGCUUAACCUUACAACGCCGAAG
This 2925-nucleotide ribosomal RNA is filed under the name Escherichia coli. Its description in RNAcentral is "23S ribosomal RNA". It matches the Rfam family "Bacterial large subunit ribosomal RNA". Lineage: Bacteria; Pseudomonadati; Pseudomonadota; Gammaproteobacteria; Enterobacterales; Enterobacteriaceae. The record is from RNAcentral.